RNAcentral lists this ribosomal RNA (381 nucleotides) under uncultured Leptolinea sp. RNAcentral's name for it is "bacterial SSU rRNA". It matches the Rfam family "Bacterial small subunit ribosomal RNA", at positions 987 to 1382 of the family's 1533-position model. Lineage: Bacteria; Bacillati; Chloroflexota; Anaerolineae; Anaerolineales; Anaerolineaceae. The record is from RNAcentral.
UAUAGGUUGUAGGGAACUGAAAAGCGACGACCCUUCGGGGAGCUUGCACAGGUGCUGCAUGGCUGUCGUCAGCUCGUGUCGUGAGAUGUUCGGUUAAGUCCGCUAACGAGCGCAACCCUCGCUGUGUGUUACAAGUGUCACACGGUACUGCCGGUCUUAAGCCGGAGGAAGGUGGGGAUGACGUCAAGUCAGCAUGGCCUUUAUGUCCUGGGCUACACACACGCUACAAUGGCCAACACAAUAGGUUGCUAAGCCGCGAGGUGGAGCCAAUCCUCAAAGUUGGUCUCAGUUCAGAUUGCAGGCUGCAACCCGCCUGCAUGAAGAUGGAGUUGCUAGUAACCGCAGGUCAGCUAUACUGCGGUGAAUACGUUCCCGGGGCUU